CUAGCCGCGAUUGCAGUGGAAAUCCUUUUUUGAAAAAAAAAGAUUGCAGCGGAAAGCGCGAAAAAG
This 66-nucleotide small RNA is filed under the name Chryseobacterium gambrini. Its description in RNAcentral is "Flavo-1 RNA". It matches the Rfam family "Flavo-1 RNA". Lineage: Bacteria; Pseudomonadati; Bacteroidota; Flavobacteriia; Flavobacteriales; Weeksellaceae. The record is from RNAcentral.